GGUUCGAUCCUGGCUCAGAUUGAACGCUGGCCGGGAUGCUACCACAUGCAAGUCGAACAGCGGCACGGACUUCGGUCUGGUGGCGAGUGGCGAACGGGUGAGUAAUGUCGGAACGUGCCUAGUAGCAGGGGAUAACUACGCGGCGUAGCUAAUACCGCAUACGCCCUUCGGGGAAAGCAGGGGACCUUCAGACCUCCUUACUAUUAGAGCAACCGAUAUCCAGAUUAGCUAGUUGGUGGGGUAACAGCUCACCAAGGCGACGAUCCGUGGCUGGUUUGAGGACGACCAGCCACACUGGGACUGAGACCUGGCCCAGACUCCUACGGGAGAGGCAGCAGUGGAAUUUGGACAAUGGGAAACCUGAUCAGCCAUCCCGCGUGCGGCAUGAAGGCCUUCGGGUUGUAAAGCACUUUUGGCAGAAAGAAACGCUGGGAUAAUACCCGUGCAGCUGGCAGUACCUGCAGAAUAAGCACCGGCUUCUUCACGUGCAGCAGCCGCGUAAUACGUAGGGUGCAAGCGUUAAUCGGAAUUACUGGGCGUAAAGGCGUGCGCAGGCGGUUCGGAAGAAGAUGUGAAAUCCCAGAGCUUAACUUUGGAACUGCAUUUUAACUACCGAGCUAGAGUGUGUCGGAGAGUCUGGAAUUCCGCGUGUAGCAGUGAAAUGCGUAGAUAUGCGGAGGAACACCGAUGGCGAAGUAGCCUCGGGAUAACACUGACGCUCAUCUUACAUAUGAAAGCGUGGGAGCAAACAGGAUUAGAUACCCUGGUAGUCCACGCCUAAACGAUGUCAACUGGCUUUAUUUUGGGGCCUUCGGGCCUUGGUAGCGCAGCUAACGCGUGAAGUUGACCGCCUGGGAGUACGGUCGCAAGAUUAAAACUCAAAGGUGCAACCGGGGACCCGCACAAGCGGUGGAUGAUAUUGGAUUAAUUCGAUGCAACGCGAAAAACCUUACCUACCCUUGACAUGUCUGGAAUCCCGAAAGAGAUUUGGGAGUGCUCGCAAGAGAACCGGAACACAGGUGCUGCAUGGCUGUCGUCAGCUCGUGUCGUGAGAUGUUGGGUUAAGUCCCGCAACGAAGCGCAGCCCUUGUCAUUUAGUUGCUACGAAGGGCACUCCUAAUGGGACUGCCGGUGACAAACCGGAGGAAGGUGGGGAUGACGUCAAGUCCUCAUGGCCCUUAUGGUGGGGCUUCACACGUCAUACAAUGGUCGGGACAGAGGGGUCGCCAACCCGCGAGAGGCCAAUCCCAGGAAACCCGAUCGUAGUCGGAUCGCAGUCUGCAACUCGACUGCGCGAAGUCGGAAUCGCUAGUAAUCGCGGAUCAGCAUGUCGCGGUGAAUACGUUCCCGGGUCUUGUACACACCGCCCGUCACCUGUGGGAAUUAGGGUUUGCAGGAAGUAGUUAGCCUAACCGUAAGGAGGCGAUUACCACGGUAAGUUCAUGACUGAGGUGAAGUCGUAACAAGGUAA
Molecule: ribosomal RNA, 1471 nt
Filed under: uncultured Bordetella sp.
Lineage: Bacteria; Pseudomonadati; Pseudomonadota; Betaproteobacteria; Burkholderiales; Alcaligenaceae
Description: partial 16S-23S ribosomal RNA intergenic spacer
Rfam family: Bacterial small subunit ribosomal RNA
Source: RNAcentral